This 454-nucleotide unclassified non-coding RNA is filed under the name Actinomadura vinacea. Its description in RNAcentral is "partial 16S-23S ribosomal RNA intergenic spacer region". Lineage: Bacteria; Bacillati; Actinomycetota; Actinomycetes; Streptosporangiales; Thermomonosporaceae. The record is from RNAcentral.
AAGGAGCAUUCAACUGGCCGCAGGCGUCAUCCCCUUGGGGGUGGGCGUGUGGUCGGUGGCCGCUGUUGACAGCGAGUGUCUGUCAGGUGGCUGCUCAUAGAUGUGGAGCACUGGCUAUUCGGUGGCACUCGUGUGCGGCCCGGUUAGUACCGCCCUGUGAGGGGAGUGGGAACGUCGGUGCCGGGUGCGGGAGCUGGCGGGCACGCUGUUGGGUCCUGAGGAAACGGACCCUUCAGCCCCUGAUCGUCGUGGUUUUCGGACCGGGUGUUAAUGGGGCUGGGGUUGUUUCUUCUGGAAUCGCGGGGCCCGAAGUUCCUGGUCCUUUGCGGGUUUGCAAGGGCUUGGUGGGUUCCGGGUGGUUUUUUGAGAACUGCACAGUGGGACGCCGAAGCAUUCUCUGAACCAAGAGCCUUCGGGUUUUUGUUCUCUGUUGCGAUUUUGUUGAUCGUUUUGU